GGAGGAAGGCGGGGAUGACGUCAAGUCCUCAUGGCCCUUAUGUCCAGGGCUACACACGUGCUACAAUGGCCGGUACAAAGGGCAGCAAAGCCGCGAGGUGGAGCCAAUCCCAGAAAGCCGGUCUCAGUUCGGAUUGGAGUCUGCAACUCGACUCCAUGAAGUUGGAAUCGCUAGUAAUCGCGGAUCAGCAUGCCCGCGGUCCGAAUACGUCCGGCCUU
RNAcentral lists this ribosomal RNA (218 nucleotides) under uncultured Desulfuromonas sp. Its description in RNAcentral is "partial 16S ribosomal RNA". It matches the Rfam family "Bacterial small subunit ribosomal RNA", at positions 1165 to 1373 of the family's 1533-position model. The record is from RNAcentral. Lineage: Bacteria; Pseudomonadati; Thermodesulfobacteriota; Desulfuromonadia; Desulfuromonadales; Desulfuromonadaceae.